RNAcentral lists this long non-coding RNA (1827 nucleotides) under Gallus gallus (chicken). RNAcentral describes it as "lncRNA (ENSGALG00010028822.1)". The record is from RNAcentral. Lineage: Eukaryota; Metazoa; Chordata; Aves; Galliformes; Phasianidae.
CCCCACAGCGCCAUUCCGCCCCACACCCCCCUCCCAUCCCCCCCCCGUUCUGCUCAGCGCUGUUGGCCGCCGCCCCACCGCCGCUCCGCUCCAACUCGGCCAAAGGUUCCUCCGCUCCCCCCCCGCCCCCGGGAGAGGCGGCUGUAGGGCCGUCUAUGGGGCGGCGGCGGGGUGCCGAUCCCAAAGCGGAACCUUAUGGGGGCGACGCCACCGCGCUGCGCUCCAUUUUAGGUCUGCGGUGGGGCUGAGGGGGAACGGCCCCAUAGAGCCGCUGUGUGGCCGUGUGGGGCUGUGGGGUCUGCGCGGGGCUAUGGGGCCCAUGUGGGGCUAUGGGAUCCCAGGGUCCACUCAGCGUUAUGGGGUCCCAUGUUCCAUGUGGGGCUGUGGGGUCUGUGUAGGGCUAUGGGGUCUGUGUAGGGCUAUGGGGCCCAUGUGGGGCUAUGGGAUCCCAGGGUCCACUCAGGGUUAUGGGGUCCCAUGUUCCACGUGGGGCUGUGGGGUCUGUGUAGGGCUAUGGGGUCUGUGUAGGCUAUGGGGUCUGUGUAGGGUAUGGGGUCUGUGUAGGCUAUGGGGUCUGUGCAGGGCUAUGGGGUCUGUGUAGGGCUGUGGGGCCCAUGUGGGGCUAUGGGAUCCCAGGGUCCACUCAGGGUUAUGGGAUCCCAUGUUCCAUUUGGGGCUGUGGGGUGUGUGUGUGGUUAUGGGAUCUGUGCAGGGCUAUGGGAUCCCAGGGUCCACUCAGGGUUAUGGGGUCCCAUGUUCCAUGUGGGGCUGUGGGGUCUGUGCAGGGCUAUGGGGCCCAUGUGGGGCUAUGGGAUCCGAGUGUCCGUGCAGGGUUAUGGGGUCCAUGUGGGGCUAUGGGGUCUGUGUAGGGCUGUGGGGUGCAUGUGUGGCUAUGGGGUCUGUGUAGGGCUAUGGGGUCCGUGUGUGGUUAUGGGAUCCCCGAGUCCAUGCAGGGUUAUGGAAACCCAUGUUCCAUAUGGGGCUGUGGGGUCUGUGCAGGGCUAUGGGGUCUGUUUGAGGUUAUGGGAUCCUGGGGUCCAUGUGGGGCUACGGGGUCUGUAUGGGGCUAUGGGGUCUGCAUGGGGCUAUGGGGUCUGUAUGGGGCUAUGGGGUCUGCAUGGAGCUAUGGGGUCCAUGUGGGUCUAUGGGGUCUGUAUGGGACUAUGGGGUCUGCAUGGAGCUAUGGGGUCCAUGCGGGUCUAUGGGGUCUGUAUGGGGCUAUGGGGUCUGCAUGGGACUAUGGGGUCUGUAUGAGGCUAUGGAGUCCAUGCGGGGCUAUGGGGUCUAUAUGGGACUAUGGGGUCUGCAUGGGGCUAUGGAGUCCAUGCGGGGCUAUGGGGUCUAUAUGGGACUAUGGGGUCUGCAUGGGGCUAUGGGGUCGCUGUGUGGUUCCCCCCCUCUCCCUCAUGGGGCCGACCAUACGGGGCUGCUGCUCACUGUGGGGUGCAGAGCUGCAGGGACCGCUUCAGCGCCGACCCGGUGGGACCCCCUUUGUUUCUUAUAGGGUCUCACAGAGCGCUCUGUUUGUUGUUGUGGGGUCUCCGCUCUGUUUGUUGUGGGGUCUCCGCUCUGUUAUGGGGUCUCCGCUCUGUUAUGGGGUCUCCGCUCUGUUGUGGGGUCUCCGCUCUGUUUGUUGUGGGGUCUCCGCUCUGUUAUGGGGUCUCCACUCUGUUAUGGGGUCUCCGCUCUGUUAUGGGGUCUCCGCUCUGUUAUGGGGUUUCCAGGGCGGCAGUGUUUACCGCUCACCCUUCCCCUGCUGGGCUCACUGCCCUCAGCGGCACGUGGGGAAACGGAGGCGCUGCCGGGGGGGGCACAGCGCUCCCCCCC